AACGCACCUUGCGCUCCUUGGUAUUCCGAGGAGCAUGCCUGUUUGAGUGUCAUGAAAUCAUCAAUUCUCCUUACUUUGUGAGGUUUGAAUUGGAUUUGGAGGCCUGCUGGACUUGUUUAACGAGUUCAAGCUUCUCUUAAAUGCAUUAGCUGGACUUUGAACGUGCAUAUAUGCAGUGUGAUAACUAUCUUCACUGUUUUGUGGGUUUGAUUUGACUCUGGCUUCUAACGGUCCAAUGCCUUGGACAAUUAUUUGACCAUUUGACCUCAAAUCAGGUAGGAUUACCCGCUGAACUUAA
RNAcentral lists this unclassified non-coding RNA (298 nucleotides) under uncultured fungus. Its description in RNAcentral is "sequence contains ITS2". The stretch from base 1 to 52 matches the Rfam family "5.8S ribosomal RNA", at positions 103 to 154 of the family's 154-position model. Lineage: Eukaryota; Fungi. The record is from RNAcentral.